This is a non-coding RNA of Jatropha curcas, 1130 nucleotides long. NCBI's taxonomy places the organism in Eukaryota, Viridiplantae, Streptophyta, Magnoliopsida, Malpighiales, Euphorbiaceae. The record is from RefSeq and is a predicted model, not a curated record.
UAGCAUUUCUCCUUUUUCAGUCUCAUCAUGCCUGAGAACAAUGGAACUCUGACUCCAACUCCAGGUCUUUUCAAACCUCUUUUCUCAACUUCUCCCACUAUUACUACCGUUAAAUUGGAAGGUAGUAGUAAUUAUAUCUCCCGGUAUGCUUCAGUAGAGUAUGAUUUAUGGGACAAGAAUAUGAUGACCAUUAAUUAAAAAUGCUGCUGAUUUUGUUGCUCAGCGGGAGUUUGGCUUAGUUUGUUGUUUACGCAGAGAUCUGUGGUUUAAAGCAAUCUCCUAGGGCAUGGUUUGGAAGAUUCAGUGCUGUUGUGAAACAAUUUGGAAUGAACCGAAGUGAAAUUGAUCAUUCAGUAUUUCACCGACAUGGAGAUCAUAGCAAGUGUAUCUACUUAGUGGCCUAUGUUGAUGACAAGUGAUAACAGGUAUAUCAAGGGAACUCCUGGCCAAGGCUUGUUGUAUGAAGACAGGGAUCACUGACAAAUUGUUGGAUACUCUAAUGCAGACUGGACAGGUUCUCGCUCUGAUAGACGGUCCACUUUUGAGUUGUGUUCAGAUUGGUGGAAAUUUGAUAUCUUGGAAGAGUAAAAAACAAGUUGUAGAUCGAGUGUAGAAGCAGAAUACCAAGCCAUGGCAUUGGCUACGUGUGAACUUAUUUGGCUAAAGUAACUCCUUCAAGAAUUAAAAUAUGGAGAAAUCAAAUAUAUGAAAUUGAUUUGUAAUAAUCAAGCAUCACUUCAUAUUACCUCUAAUCCAGUGUUUCAUGAAAGGACAAAACAUAUAGAGAUAGAUUGCCACUUCAUCAGAUAGAAGAUUGAAUCAGGAUGUAUUUCUACCUCUUUUGUUGGUUCGAAUGACCAAUUAGCGGACAUCCUUACAAUGUCUCUUAGAGGUCCCCGCAUUGAAUACAUUUAUAACAAGCUAGGAGCAUAUGACGUGUAUGCCUCCAACUUCAAGGGGAGUGUUAGAACCUUGUAAUUAUUAGAAUAUAUUGUGCAUAUAUUAGGGUGAUAUUUAGUCAUAAUUAGAGAUACUUAGGAGAUUAUUUUCCUUUUUAAAUUAUAGACUUUGUACUAUAUAUACCCUAAACUCAUAUGAGGAAUCGAUCAAGCCGAUUGCUUGUUUUCAAA